GCGUGAGUAGUACAGUGGUUAGUAUUUGACCUUGCCAAGGUCGAGACCCGAGUUCAAAUCUCGGCUCGCGCA
RNAcentral lists this transfer RNA (72 nucleotides) under Nanobdellota archaeon. RNAcentral describes it as "tRNA-Gly". It matches the Rfam family "tRNA". Rfam says of the family: Transfer RNA (tRNA) molecules are approximately 80 nucleotides in length. Their secondary structure includes four short double-helical elements and three loops (D, anti-codon, and T loops). RNAcentral also lists the same sequence under 1 other name. Lineage: Archaea; Nanobdellati; Nanobdellota. The record is from RNAcentral.